Molecule: ribosomal RNA, 429 nt
Filed under: Bacillota bacterium
Lineage: Bacteria; Bacillati; Bacillota
Description: Firmicutes bacterium partial 16S ribosomal RNA
Rfam family: Bacterial small subunit ribosomal RNA
Source: RNAcentral
UAGGGAAUCUUCGGCAAUGGACGGAAGUCUGACCGAGCAACGCCGCGUGAGUGAAGAAGGUUUUCGGAUCGUAAAGCUCUGUUGUUAGAGAAGAACGUUGGUAGGAGUGGAAAAUCUACCAAGUGACGGUAACUAACCAGAAAGGGACGGCUAACUACGUGCCAGCAGCCGCGGUAAUACGUAGGUCCCGAGCGUUGUCCGGAUUUAUUGGGCGUAAAGCGAGCGCAGGCGGUUCUUUAAGUCUGAAGUUAAAGGCAGUGGCUUAACCAUUGUACGCUUUGGAAACUGGAGGGCUUGAGUGCAGAGGGGGAGAGUGGAAUUCCAUGUGUAGCGGUGAAAUGCGUAGAUAUAUGGAGGAACACCGGUGGCGAAAGCGGCUCUCUGGUCUGUAACUGACGCGGAGGCUCGAAAGCGUGGGGAGCAAACAGG